Molecule: microRNA precursor, 201 nt
Filed under: Medicago truncatula (barrel medic)
Lineage: Eukaryota; Viridiplantae; Streptophyta; Magnoliopsida; Fabales; Fabaceae
Description: MIR2670 microRNA precursor family
Rfam family: MIR2670 microRNA precursor family
Source: Rfam by way of RNAcentral
UCAGGGUAAAAUAGUGAGUAGCCGACCUGGAGAAGUGAUCAACCCUUGGGAUAAGUUUAAAUCUUCUUUUUUUUAACUCCAUAAACUUUUUAUCUUGGGUAAAAAGAUUUUUCUUGGGGUAUAAAAAAAACCAUAUUUAAAUUUAGCCCAAGAGUUGAUGAUGUAUUUUCCCCAGGAAGACUGCUCACUAUUUUACCCCAC